AAGAAGAAGGUUUUGGGGCAAGUGCUUAUAAGGUGGACUGGAACCCACCUUCGAAAGAAGAAGGUUUUGGGGCAAGUGCUUAUAAGGUGGAUUGGAACCCACCUUUGAAGGAAGAAGGUUUUGGGGCAAGUGCUUAUAAGGUGGAUUGGAAUCCACCUUCGAAAGAAGAAGGUUUUGGGGCAAGUUCUUAUAAGGUGGACUGGAACCCACCUUCGA
Molecule: non-coding RNA, 216 nt
Organism: Triticum urartu
Lineage: Eukaryota; Viridiplantae; Streptophyta; Magnoliopsida; Poales; Poaceae
Source: RefSeq, a predicted model, not a curated record